This 355-nucleotide unclassified non-coding RNA is filed under the name Hevea brasiliensis (rubber tree). The record is from RNAcentral. Lineage: Eukaryota; Viridiplantae; Streptophyta; Magnoliopsida; Malpighiales; Euphorbiaceae.
ACCGAUCGUAAAGUUCGAGCGCCCGCCCAUAACAUAAAGCUUGCCUUCGAAGCUGCAGCCGAAACAGCCCCACCUUGGGCGACGGAUGCUCUCAAUUAGAGUCCACUUGUUCGUGUCUGGGUCGUAAACUUCAGUACUAGAUAGACUGGUACCCUGAGAUCCAUAGCCACCAACUACAUAUAUGAGACCAUCUACUUCGGCACAAGCAAAGUCAUAGCGAGCAAUAUUCAUCUUCGCAAUCAUAUUCCAUCUGUUAAGCCGAGAUUCAUAUUGGUAUACAUCAUCCGAAACAUAUUGUAUCCCCUCAUCAACCGAAUAACCAGCCAUAACGAACAGGUUUCCAUCUUGAACGACG